This 230-nucleotide long non-coding RNA is filed under the name Elaeis guineensis (African oil palm). RNAcentral describes it as "long non-coding RNA (EGUI_LNC030303)". Lineage: Eukaryota; Viridiplantae; Streptophyta; Magnoliopsida; Arecales; Arecaceae. The record is from RNAcentral.
GUAGUAUUUUCCCCACACCAUUCAAGAAAAAAGAAAAGGGGCCGGGGCUCAAAUUUCAUUAAAACCCUGAGAUGCGAUAACAGCAUAAAGAAACCAACUUUCUGAGCUUUGCGACCGUAUAAACCUUAAACCCUCGGGAUUCUGGAGCUUUCAGAGUUGCUUUCGUGGAAGCUGAUGAGGGAGAGGAUGUCCUUAGCGACGGAGAUGACCUCAGGAUUGAUGCCAUCACU